RNAcentral lists this long non-coding RNA (271 nucleotides) under Olea europaea (common olive). RNAcentral's name for it is "long non-coding RNA (OEUR_LNC009472)". The record is from RNAcentral. Lineage: Eukaryota; Viridiplantae; Streptophyta; Magnoliopsida; Lamiales; Oleaceae.
UGACCAUAACUACUUCAUUUAUUACACUUUUGAUCCUCUAACUAACUAUUGAACCUUCUGGAAUAACAAUUGAUGUGGAUGCCUCUAUGUUUGCAUGUGUGAACCGGAUUGGGGUCUAUCAGCUCCCAAGUACCCUUUUUCUCCAAAGCUUUCAUUUCAUCUUCAAUAACUUCGUUUCAUUCCGACUUUCCAAUGGCAAUACGGAUAUUCUGUGGAAUUUUAAUAUCAGUCAGAUUAGUAGUAAAUGCCUUGAAUUUCAGAGAUAGGCCCG